Molecule: ribosomal RNA, 453 nt
Filed under: Triticum aestivum (bread wheat)
Lineage: Eukaryota; Viridiplantae; Streptophyta; Magnoliopsida; Poales; Poaceae
Description: partial small subunit ribosomal RNA
Source: RNAcentral
AUGCUCCGAUUCCCCAUUGUCCCGUGGCCUCCCAAACAGCCGCCGCCGAUCGGCAUGGCAUCGAGCGAGCUGCCGUCGUCGUCGAAGAAAAACUCCGGUCCCACCACCAUAUGCGCCCUCGGUGACGACCUCCUGCGCGAGGUGUUCCUCCGCCUGCCCUCCCUCCCGACCCUCGUCCGCGCUGCGCUCAGCUGCCCCACCUUCCUCCAUGCCGUCCGUUCGUCCCUCGCGUUCCGCCGCUGCUUCUGCGACCUCCACCCGGCCCCGCUCCUGGGCGUCUACCUCGAAACAUACGGUCCCGCCAUGCCCGCCUUCGUGCCCGUCCGCUGCCGGUCCGACCCGGACCACGCCGCGGCCGUCCGCGGCGCCGACGUCUUCCUCACCCGGGUCCUCGAGGACGAACAAGAAGACGACGGCCCCGGAUGGUCGAUGACCGGGUGCCGCGCGCGAUAG